GCCUACGGGGGGCAGCAGUGGGGAAUUUUGCGCAAUGGGCGAAAGCCUGACGCAGCAACGCCGCGUGGGGGAUGAAGGCCUUCGGGUCGUAAACCUCUUUCAGCAGGGACGAAUCAAGACUGUACCUGCAGAAGAAGCCCCGGCUAAAUACGUGCCAGCAGCCGCGGUAAUACGUAUGGGGCAAGCGUUAUCCGGAUUCAUUGGGCGUAAAGAGCGCGUAGGCGGCUUGGUAAGUCAGAUGUGAAAACUGGGGGCUCAACCCGCAGCCUGCAUCUGAAACUUCCAGGCUUGAGUCUGGUAGAGGAAAGUGGAAUUCCUAGUGUAGCGGUGAAAUGCGCAGAUAUUAGGAGGAACACCAGUGGCGAAGGCGGCUUUCUGGGCCACGACUGACGCUGAGGCGCGAAAGCUAGGGGAGCAAACAGGAUUAGAUACCCUGGUAA
This 440-nucleotide ribosomal RNA is filed under the name uncultured bacterium. Its description in RNAcentral is "bacterial SSU rRNA". It matches the Rfam family "Bacterial small subunit ribosomal RNA", at positions 337 to 793 of the family's 1533-position model. The record is from RNAcentral.